UUUUUUUUUCUUCUUCCCCCUUUUUCUUCUCUUCUUCUUUCUUUCUUUCUCCUGUGCUUCCACGUAGCUGCCUUCUCUGGUUCCUUAUGAACGAAGGCAGAGAGGCUUAAACGGUGUGAUUUGUAUUUUUGUACAUUUUAUAGUUUAGUCCUUGUAUUUAUUAUAUUUACGAUUAGGUCCUCAGGGUUUACAUAUAGUUCCUCAGAUUUUUUUUUUUUUAACAAAUCCUCCAACUCUUAUGAAUAAGUUUUCAGAUUCAUACUUUGACUUUUUAUCAAAUUUAAAAUAGAUACUUACAUUACAAUUAGAAACUUAUACGAAAAUUCAGAAAUGAGGGAUGUUA
Molecule: long non-coding RNA, 343 nt
Filed under: Musa acuminata (dwarf banana)
Lineage: Eukaryota; Viridiplantae; Streptophyta; Magnoliopsida; Zingiberales; Musaceae
Description: long non-coding RNA (MACU_LNC009518)
Source: RNAcentral